This 468-nucleotide ribosomal RNA is filed under the name uncultured bacterium. RNAcentral describes it as "partial 16S ribosomal RNA". It matches the Rfam family "Bacterial small subunit ribosomal RNA", at positions 28 to 507 of the family's 1533-position model. The record is from RNAcentral.
GACGAACGCUGGCGGCGUGCUUAACACAUGCAAGUCGAACGGAAAGUCCCUGCUUUUGUGGGGUGCUCGAGUUGCGAACUGGUGAGUAACACGUGAGUAACCUGCCCUUGCCUUUGGGAUAACUUCAUGACACUUGGUCUCAUCCCGGAUAGGAUCUCCUGCUUCUUGGUGGGGGUUGGAUAGUUUCGGCGGUUGGGGAUGGACUCGCGUCUUAUCAGCUUGUUGGUGGGGUAGUGUCUUACCAUGGCUUUGACGGGUAGCCGACCUGAGGGGAGGAGCGGACAAAUUGGGACUGAGAUGCGGCACAGACUACAACGGGAGGCAGCAGUGGGGAAGAGUACACAAUGGGAGGAAGGCUGAUGCAGCAAAGCAACGUGGGGGAUGACGGCAUUCGGGUUGUAAACCGAUUUCGCCUGUGACGAAGCGUGAGUGACGGUAAUGGGUAAAGAAGCACCGGCUAACUACGUG